GCUCAGGAUGAACGCUGGCGGCGUGCUUAACACAUGCAAGUCGAACGAAGCACUUUAUUUGAUUUCCUUCGGGACUGAUUAUUUUGUGACUGAGUGGCGGACGGGUGAGUAACGCGUGGGUAACCUGCCUUGUACAGGGGGAUAACAGUUGGAAACGGCUGCUAAUACCGCAUAAGCGCACAGCAUCGCGUGAUGCAGUGUGAAAAACUCCGGUGGUAUAAGAUGGACCCGCGUUGGAUUAGCUAGUUGGUGAGGUAACGGCCCACCAAGGCGACGAUCCAUAGCCGACCUGAGAGGGUGACCGGCCACAUUGGGACUGAGACACGGCCCAAACUCCUACGGGAGGCAGCAGUA
This 354-nucleotide ribosomal RNA is filed under the name uncultured bacterium. Its description in RNAcentral is "bacterial SSU rRNA". It matches the Rfam family "Bacterial small subunit ribosomal RNA", at positions 22 to 356 of the family's 1533-position model. The record is from RNAcentral.